CUGACUGCUAUCGGAUUGAUACUAAGCCAUGCGAGUCAUUGUAGCAAUACAAGGCAGACGGCUCAGUAACGCGUAGUCAACCUAACCUAUGGACGGGAAUAACCUCGGGAAACUGAGAAUAAUGCCCGAUAGAACACUAUAUCUGGAAUGGUUUGUGUUCCAAAUGAUUUAUCGCCGUAGGAUGGGACUGCGGCCUAUCAGUUUGUUGGUGAGGUAAUGGCCCACCAAGACUAUUACAGGUACGGGCUCUGAGAGGAGUAGCCCGGAGAUGGGUACUGAGACACGGACCCAGGCCCUAUGGGGCGCAGCAGGCGAGAAAACUUUGCAAUGUGCGAAAGCACGACAAGGUUAAUCCGAGUGGUUUGUGCUAAACAGACCUUUUGUUAGUCCUAGAAACACUAACGAAUAAGGGGUGGGCAAGUUCUGGUGUCAGCCGCCGCGGUAAAACCAGCACCUCAAGUGGUCAGGAUGAUUAUUGGGCCUAAAGCAUCCGUAGCCGGCUCUGUAAGUUUUCGGUUAAAUCUGUAUGCUCAACAUACAGGCUGCCGGGAAUACUGCAGAGCUAGGGAGUGGGAGAGGUAGACGGUACUCGGUAGGAAGGGGUAAAAUCCUUUGAUCUAUUGAUGACCACCUGUGGCGAAGGCGGUCUACCAGAACACGUCCGACGGUGAGGGAUGAAAGCUGGGGGAGCAAACCGGAUUAGAUACCCGGGUAGUCCCAGCUGUAAACUAUGCAAACUCAGUGAUGCAUUGGCUUGUGGCCAAUGCAGUGCUGCAGGGAAGCCGUUAAGUUUGCCGCCUGGGAAGUACGUACGCAAGUAUGAAACUUAAAGGAAUUGGCGGGGGAGCACCACAAGGGGUGAAGCCUGCGGUUC
This 874-nucleotide ribosomal RNA is filed under the name uncultured archaeon. Its description in RNAcentral is "bacterial SSU rRNA". It matches the Rfam family "Archaeal small subunit ribosomal RNA", at positions 23 to 903 of the family's 1478-position model. The record is from RNAcentral.